Molecule: transfer RNA, 76 nt
Filed under: Alphaproteobacteria bacterium
Lineage: Bacteria; Pseudomonadati; Pseudomonadota; Alphaproteobacteria
Description: tRNA-Lys
Rfam family: tRNA
About the family: Transfer RNA (tRNA) molecules are approximately 80 nucleotides in length. Their secondary structure includes four short double-helical elements and three loops (D, anti-codon, and T loops).
Source: RNAcentral
GGGCCCGUAGCUCAGUUGGUAGAGCAACUGACUUUUAAUCAGUAGGUCGCAGGUUCGAUCCCUGCCGGGCUCACCA